GAUGAACGCUGGCGGCGUGCCUAAUACAUGCAAGUCGAGCGAACGGACGAGAAGCUUGCUUCUCUGAUGUUAGCGGCGGACGGGUGAGUAACACGUGGAUAACCUACCUAUAAGACUGGGAUAACUUCGGGAAACCGGAGCUAAUACCGGAUAAUAUUUUGAACCGCAUGGUUCAAAAGUGAAAGACGGUCUUGCUGUCACUUAUAGAUGGAUCCGCGCUGCAUUAGCUAGUUGGUAAGGUAACGGCUUACCAAGGCAACGAUGCAUAGCCGACCUGAGAGGGUGAUCGGCCACACUGGAACUGAGACACGGUCCAGACUCCUACGGGAGGCAGCAGUAGGGAAUCUUCCGCAAUGGGCGAAAGCCUGACGGAGCAACGCCGCGUGAGUGAUGAAGGUCUUCGGAUCGUAAAACUCUGUUAUUAGGGAAGAACAUAUGUGUAAGUAACUGUGCACAUCUUGACGGUACCUAAUCAGAAAGCCAUGGCUAACUACGUGCCAGCAGCCGCGGUAAUACGUAGGUGGCAAGCGUUAUCCGGAAUUAUUGGGCGUAAAGCGCGCGUAGGCGGUUUUUUAAGUCUGAUGUGAAAGCCCACGGCUCAACCGUGGAGGGUCAUUGGAAACUGGAAAACUUGAGUGCAGAAGAGGAAAGUGGAAUUCCAUGUGUAGCGGUGAAAUGCGCAGAGAUAUGGAGGAACACCAGUGGCGAAGGCGACUUUCUGGUCUGUAACUGACGCUGAUGUGCGAAAGCGUGGGGAUCAAACAGGAUUAGAUACCCUGGUAGUCCACGCCGUAAACGAUGAGUGCUAAGUGUUAGGGGGUUUCCGCCCCUUAGUGCUGCAGCUAACGCAUUAAGCACUCCGCCUGGGGAGUACGACCGCAAGGUUGAAACUCAAAGGAAUUGACGGGGACCCGCACAAGCGGUGGAGCAUGUGGUUUAAUUCGAAGCAACGCGAAGAACCUUACCAAAUCUUGACAUCCUUUGACAACUCUAGAGAUAGAGCUUUCCCCUUCGGGGGACAAAGUGACAGGUGGUGCAUGGUUGUCGUCAGCUCGUGUCGUGAGAUGUUGGGUUAAGUCCCGCAACGAGCGCAACCCUUAAGCUUAGUUGCCAUCAUUAAGUUGGGCACUCUAAGUUGACUGCCGGUGACAAACCGGAGGAAGGUGGGGAUGACGUCAAGUCAUCAUGCCCCUUAUGAUUUGGGCUACACACGUGCUACAAUGGACAAUACAAAGGGCAGCGAAACCGCGAGGUCAAGCAAAUCCCAUAAAGUUGUUCUCAGUUCGGAUUGUAGUCUGCAACUCGACUACAUGAAGCUGGAAUCGCUAGUAAUCGUAGAUCAGCAUGCUACGGUGAAUACGUUCCCGGGUCU
RNAcentral lists this ribosomal RNA (1372 nucleotides) under uncultured bacterium. Its description in RNAcentral is "bacterial SSU rRNA". It matches the Rfam family "Bacterial small subunit ribosomal RNA", at positions 28 to 1381 of the family's 1533-position model. The record is from RNAcentral.